This 358-nucleotide unclassified non-coding RNA is filed under the name soil metagenome. Its description in RNAcentral is "partial contains 5.8S ribosomal RNA, internal transcribed spacer 2, and large subunit ribosomal RNA". The stretch from base 1 to 120 matches the Rfam family "5.8S ribosomal RNA", at positions 35 to 154 of the family's 154-position model. The record is from RNAcentral.
GAUGAAGAACGUAGCGAAAUGCGAUAAGUAAUGUGAAUUGCAGAAUUCAGUGAAUCAUCGAAUCUUUGAACGCACAUUGCGCCCGUCAGUAUUCUGGCGGGCAUGCCUGUUCGAGCGUCAUUACGCCCCUCAAGUCCCCUGUGGACUUGGUGUUGGGGAUCGGCGAGGCUGGUUUUCCAGCACAGCCGUGCCUUAAAUUAAUUGGCGGUCUCGCCGUGGCCCUCCUCUGCGCAGUAGUAAAACACUCGCAACAGGAGCCCGGCGCGGUCCACUGCCGUAAAACCCCCCAACUUUUUAUAGUUGACCUCGAAUCAGGUAGGACUACCCGCUGAACUUAAGCAUAUCAAUAAGCGGAGGA